CUUGGUGAUGAAAGCGGGCUGGUAAAACCUCUUCCCAUUCCGAACAGAGAAGUUAAACGGCCUAGCGCUAAUGGUAGUUGGGGCUUAAGCCCUAGCGAGAGUAGGCUGUCGCCAAGA
RNAcentral lists this ribosomal RNA (117 nucleotides) under Patescibacteria group bacterium. The record is from RNAcentral.